AUCAGAUAUAUAUCUAUGCUUUGAAUUUAUCUAGUUAUGAAUUUGGCAUCUUAAGAUACUAUAUUAGAAAAUGCAACUAAAUUUGAAACUAGCAUAGUAUCAGAAUAUUUAAAUUUGAAUAGGAAGAAGAAAGAUGAAUCUUAAUAUUUAAAUUUGAAUAGGAAGAAGAAAGAUGAAUCUUAUGUUUCCAAUUUGUGGAAUUGGAUACAGCUGAUGUAUUGCUAUCAUCAGAGUUUUCACAACAAUUCUUCUAGCUUAUGUAGAAUGAAGAUAAUAAUAGCAAGUAAUAUUUUGAAGAAUAGUUUCCCUCAUGAUUG
This 317-nucleotide long non-coding RNA is filed under the name Populus trichocarpa (black cottonwood). RNAcentral describes it as "long non-coding RNA (PTRI_LNC002479)". Lineage: Eukaryota; Viridiplantae; Streptophyta; Magnoliopsida; Malpighiales; Salicaceae. The record is from RNAcentral.